Molecule: ribosomal RNA, 460 nt
Filed under: uncultured bacterium
Lineage: Bacteria
Description: partial 16S ribosomal RNA
Rfam family: Bacterial small subunit ribosomal RNA
Source: RNAcentral
CCUACGGGAGGCUGCAGUGAGGAAUAUUGGUCAAUGGGCGUAAGCCUGAACCAGCCAAGUCGCGUGAGGGAUGAAGGUUCUAUGGAUCGUAAACCUCUUUUAUAAGGGAAUAAAGUGUGGGACGUGUCCUAUUUUGUAUGUACCUUAUGAAUAAGGAUCGGCUAACUCCGUGCCAGCAGCCGCGGUAAUACGGAGGAUCCGAGCGUUAUCCGGAUUUAUUGGGUUUAAAGGGUGCGUAGGCGGCCUUUUAAGUCAGCGGUGAAAGUUUGUGGCUCAACCAUAGAAUUGCCGUUGAAACUGGUGGUAUUGAGUAUGUUUGAGGCAGGCGGAAUGCGUGGGGUAGCGGUGAAAUGCUUAGAUAUCACGCAGAACCCCGAUUGCGAAGGCAGCCUGCCAAGCCAUGACUGACGCUGAUGCACGAAAGCGUGGGGAUCAAACAGGAUUAGAUACCCUUGUAGUC